CUAAAAUAUACUUUAUGUAGAUCAAUUAAGAUCAUACAUACAUUAUAAAUAAAUGUGAGCGCGCGCUUGUGCAGAUAAAAAGGGUAACCAAUAGGAGUAGUAUAUACAUUUUUAGAACCUAGCAACCAACGUAAAUAGGCCAUAAAUUGACUAAAAAUAGGCCAUUUCAACUGACUGGCAGUUUUUGGGUGUAAUUAUUUUAGUAUUGCCAUCAACAAAAGACAAGAGGGGUUGCUCUGAUGGUAAGCAACCCCACUUCCAACCGAGAGGUUGUGAGUUUGAGUCUCCCCAAGAGCAAUGUGAGAAGUUCUUGGAGGGAAGAAUGUCGGGUUUCUAUUUGGAAACAUUGUUGUUGUUGUUGCCAACAGCAAAGAGGGAGGUAAGUUUCUGCUUGAGGCUUUCAAUUUCAUUAGCCUCUCCAUGGACUAGAAUUAUGUUGGGAGGCAUAAGUUGUUUCAAGAAGGUACUCGUCUGAGCAUAAUCCGCGUGAGCUGAGAAUGAAAUAUAAUGAACCUGCAUAUCAAGUGGAGCACUCAAGCCAUUUUGUAAGGUGACUUCCUUUGGUUCUUUGAUGAUAGUCUUCGCCAAGGUCCCUUCCACCACAUAUUCAGGUAUAACACAAGCAUUUUUCUUGUCGGACCACCAUCUAUCGAAUAGUUGCCUUGAUAAACCACUUUGAAGACUACCUGGGCUUGCCAUCACCACACAUGGUCUGUUGUCUAUAAAAUCUUCAAUACUGUUCAGGGAAGAAAUAUGUUGGAACUCAAAGAGAUUUGAGCCGCUGACAAACUCAUUACGGAUCCUUUCAUUCAUGGCAUUGAGGUAAGACUGAUAGACAAGCCAUACACUUUCUCGCAAGUGGAGAAGCAUAAUAUAUGGGGAAAUUAGCAAGUUCAGGAUGGUUAGACCAAUAUUCCUCCAGGAUAAGGAGAAGUUCCUGCGCACGUCCCAAGGCGAAAGCAGGAAUCAGCACCCGACCUCUUUGCAUGAGUGUUGAGUGUAUCACAUCAGUGAAAAGCUUCUCUCUUAUCUGACGUGGCAUAUGGAGUUGAACACCAUAAGUUGAUUCUAUAAUGCAAAUAUCUGGAGAAAAUUCUGGGGUCUCAGCAGCACGGAGAUGCCUGUCUUCUUCACGGGAGUAGUCUCCUGUAUAGAGAGUUUACUUCCAUAGUCUGAUGGAAGUCGACAACCUACAGAACCAGUUUUCACAUGUCAAAUAACCCUAGCCAUAUAUGUUAGCUAAAUCUUUUAAAAAUAGGCCAUAAAUUGAGUAGUAUUUACAUUUUUAGAACCUAGCAACCAACGUAAAUAGGCCAUAAAUUGACUAAAAAUAGGCCAUUUCAACUGACUGGCAGUUUUUGGGUGUAAUUAUUUUAGUAUUGCCAUCAACAAAAGACAAGAGGGGUUGCUCUGAUGGUAAGCAACCCCACUUCCAACCGAGAGGUUGUGAGUUUGAGUCUCCCCAAGAGCAAUGUGAGAAGACAAGUAAACCACUGACGAUUUCACCCACUCCAGGGGUCUUUUCAGCCAGCUUUCCAACAGUUUUAGCCAUUUUCUCAGAGUUGAAGUGCAUUUCAACUGAUUGGCAGUUUUUGGGUGUAAUUAUUUUAGUAUUGCCAUCAGCAAAGAGGGAGGUAAGUUUCUGCUUGAGCCUUCCCAUCUCAUUAGCCUCUCCAUGGACUAGAAUUAUGUUGGGAGGCAUAAGUUCUUUCAAGAAGGUACUAGUCUGAGC
Molecule: long non-coding RNA, 1732 nt
Filed under: Nicotiana benthamiana
Lineage: Eukaryota; Viridiplantae; Streptophyta; Magnoliopsida; Solanales; Solanaceae
Description: long non-coding RNA (NBEN_LNC036682)
Source: RNAcentral